CUCUAGGGCUCUCUCAGCCAUGGUGAGCUCUUUAGUUUUCUGGAGGAAGCACAUCCUCUCGGCACAUGUCAUCUGGGAGGCCUGACUUGUCUUCCCAGCACUGUGGAAACUGUCCCCUCACCACACCCUCUGUCUCUCUGGACCCCUGUGUUCCUUGGAGGCCCGGGGUUCCCACUCUAUCCCCUCUGCUUCUGUCUUGCAGUAGGAAUUCCGGGGCAGAGGAGCUCUCUUCCACACCACUGUAGACGGGCACCUGCCUGGAGAUCGUGUCUGAGAGCCGAGAGGGGGCUACUGGGGGGGAUGACUUCCACUUCCAGAACCUGCUGAUGCUGACGCUUGCUGUACCAGAGAGAACUGGCUGAGGAGGUGUUCAAGGCCAGGGCAGGAGGUAUGGGGAAGCCAGGUUUCCAUCGAGAUCUUUACCUUCUGGAAGUUCAGAGAAAACAUUCAGAUUUCAAAAGGAGAAGAGAAUGGGGAACUAGCUUAUGCUACGUGGAUCUUUGAAACCUGGGGGUGAGCUUCUCCAAUCUGAAGAAUAUCCAGCUUUACAAACUCUGAAAGGUUCUAUAAAAAAAAAUCCUCUUCCAUUGAUUUUUGUCGCCUGGGAUCUUUUACCGCUGACCAACAAGGUUUGCUGCCUGGGUGUGGCAUUGAACUUGAUGGACUUCUUAAUACAAUGUGGAUUCAUUAUUUCACAAAAGGAGCUUUGACUUUUACUUGGUCAGGUGGUCAUGAAAACUCUUCACUCGGACAUGGUGGACAACUGACGGGCGGCUAUUGGAGCACUCCUGCAGACGAAUGUGGAUCUGCCCCAAGUCAGAUGCCAAGGCCAAACUUCUUGUGGGCUGCUCCCGGCCAGUGACGGAGCCCAGCUGAGCUCUGAUUGCACAUCCAUUCCUGAAGGAGCAGAACUUCUUUCACAGGUGACUUUGGCUCAAGGUCUCCCCAAUAGUCUGGCCCAAGUUUAUGAGGCCUGCAUUGCUGUCCCCCAACCCUCCUUCCUUCCCUUUGUCCUGCAUGGAGGUCAGGACUGUCUCAGAGUCUGAAGACUCUUGCUACCUUCUCAGCCUUCCUCCCAGUGGUGUGCUGGAGCUGGCUUUUAAUGCAUAGUCUGUGAGGGCCAAUUAUUAAUUAUUAGAUUUUUGAGUUCAUUAUUAAAUACAGACAUUAUUAAAAAUAAAUUAUAGAAACUUAUAGUUAAUUAAAUUAUAUUAAAAGAAAAGAUGAGGACAGAAUUCAUCGCUUCCUAACUAUUUAUCAUGUUUCCCAGUGCUCUGUGCUCUGCGGGUUAUUGAGGCCUGGGGUAUCUGUGUGGUAAAGGACUGUACCACAGGGUGCUGUAGCCAAGUGUCACUUCUGAACUCAUCUUCCUGGAUGGCACUGGUAGCUUGACCAGUGGUAGGAACAUUUGCACCACACAGAUGUCAAACACUAUUAUACACAGAUUUAAUUUACGUUUUUGUUCAUUGCAGGACAACGAUUUGGCCCUCUGGCCCAAUCUAGACAGUUUUUGUAAAUGAAGUUUUAUUGGAGGAUGGCCCUGUAAGUGUGUGGACCUGUUUAGUUGACACAUGGUCAUCAUUGCUUUCUCACUACCAUGGCAGAGCUGAGUCACUACAGCACAGACCGUGAGACUUAUCAAACCAAAAAUAUUUAUUCCCUGGUACUUUUGAAAAAGUAUUUGCUGACCCCUGGUCUACAUUUAAGAGAGCCAUGGGGGAAAUUUGAAUCAUUCCGACUAAAGUUAGAAGAGUGGCACGUCUAUAGCUAUCACGUUUGGAAUCCAAAACAGUUGAGGAAAUGUUCUUUCAGAAUUAAAAAAAUCAAUUAUGAGCAAUGACGUGCACUUGGUGGAACUGGAUAGCCAUUGAAUACUUCUUUGUUGUUGGAUUUUGUCAAAUCAUGCUUGCAUUGCAUGGUGGGCUAUAGAUACAAGAGGUUGCCCAAAACUCCCAAGAGCAUGCUGGGAGAAUCAGUGGGCUGUAUAGAAUUUCCGGUAAAGAUCAUACUGCAUUUUCCUGUUAUUUGCAAGUCGUGUGCUAUAGGGCCUUGGUAUCCGUGAGAUUUAUAGCAGACGUGUGCGUGGAUUCACAUGUGCUUCUCCCCAGAGCCAGUUGCUAAGCAGGGAUCAGCAUACCCUCGCUUCUUCCCAUUUUUCUUCCAUAGGUGCUUCCCCCAAUAAAUCGUACGCACAUCUAAUCUCGCCUUGGCCUCUGCUUCUUAGAGGACCUGAAUCAACACAUUUGGUCUGAUGCAUUUCUUCUAGGACGCGGCUUAGGAAUCUGGGAUUCAUAACACAUUUAUCCACUUUUUAUAGUAGCCCUGCCACUAUUUAUUGCCAAACAGUGAAGGAUUCAGGUUCCCAUCUUCCCAAAUGACCUUUAAAUCCUAGUUUAUGAAUAUUUAGACUGAUUGCUGCUCCUUUUUGGUCAAUAUCUUUCAUCGCUGUGUUGCUUCUGCUUAAUUUUGGGUUCUUAGUAAACUGGUGAAUAUAAAUGGAGCUUUUACUUUGCAAUGGGGGCGGUCACCGUGAGGAAGAUAAUGCUUAAAAAUUAGUGUAUAGAUUGAGAUACGUGAGUGGAGUGAGAAAACAGGCACUAAUGCUCACGAGGGGCGUUUUUACCUUCAGCCUAGAAAUGCCUCAUUUUUCAAAGGGAGGCCAAAUCUUAUUUAUUAUUUGCUGUUCUGGAUCCUUCCGAGUUGUGCAGGAGUUGUGGCUCCUAUCUAGAAACACAGAUUCUCCUUGGUAAGUAUGGGCCUUAACUAGAAGGCAGGGUGAUGCUUGUGAAGGUCUUCGCCAUAAUUGUAAUGUCCUUACUGGGCACCAGUAAGGAUCAACUGGGCCCAUCAUUGUACUUUUUCUGUCAUUUACCAGGCAUUAGACAUCUGUGUUAUUUGGGGUCCUCUAAGAAGCAGAUUUAGGAAAAACAAAGUGGGAGGAACAGAGUGGUUAGGAAGGGCCAGCAGCCUCCAGUGCUGAUCUGACGUCUGUGGAAGAGGGAAAGGGAGCAGAAAUGGCGGGGUAGGAGGAGCCCCGUGGCACAGCCCCCUUCUGAGAAAGCUUGGGUUGGGCUGACCGGGAGUCUCUGAGCAAACCCUGGCCCUCGGAGGAGCCCUGUCAUGCAGGACUUGUGUGGGAAGAGCACCUGCCAUGCUUAGUCGCCGGCUGGGGGCUGCCCAGGGGGCAGUGUGGCCUCAGCUCCGUCACCAUGACCGAUGUGGGGAGGUGGCAGCUGGAGGAUCGGUCAACUGUCCUCCGCAAAGGAGCUCAGAGGGGGACCAGAAUUGUGGCCGUAAUAUGCGAAGAAGAGAAACGAAAACAGCAAUCCCUUCCCCCGAGGAAUUUAUAAUUGACGGAUUCCUUGAUCUCCUAGUUCAGAUCUCAUUACUCCAAUCUUCUCUCCUGUGUUUUGUUUACUAUGAAAUGUUGGAUGGUGAUUUUGCUCCUCCUCCUGCAUUCCAGGAGGGACAGGAUCUUUAUAGUUGUUUUCCAUGGUGGGGAGAGUGGGGUCUGAGCUUGAUUCUGUGUGUUUCUAUGUGACUACCCAGGUCACAGGGCAGAGCUCAGUCAAUCAACACAGGCCAAAAAGCUUCCACAUGCUCAUCAUCUGAGCAACUCCACUUACCAACCACAUUUUCUAUUCUCGUUUUGGGUGACAAAUCUACCUAAAAACGUCCUCUCUGCUUAUCCU
Marmota monax (woodchuck) is the source of this 3692-nucleotide long non-coding RNA. RefSeq lists it as uncharacterized. The record is from RefSeq and is a predicted model, not a curated record. Lineage: Eukaryota; Metazoa; Chordata; Mammalia; Rodentia; Sciuridae. The transcript is spliced from 3 exons.